AUUGAACGCUGGCGGCAGGCCUAACACAUGCAAGUCGAACGAGUGGCGGACGGGUGAGUAAUGUCUGGGAAACUGCCUGAUGGAGGGGGAUAACUACUGGAAACGGUAGCUAAUACCGCAUACCAUCAGAUGUGGCGAGAUGGGAUUAGCGUGUUGGGGGGGUAACGGCUCACCAAGGCGAAGAUACCUAGCUGGUCUGAGAGGAUGACCAGCCACACUGGCACUGGUACACUGUCCAGACUCCUACGGGAGGCAGCAUUGGGGAAUAUUGCACCAUGAGCGCACGCCUGCUGCAGCCAUGCCGCGUGUAUGAAGAAGGCCUUCGGGUUGUAAAUUACUUGCAGCGGGGAGGCGUUACCCGCAGAAGAAGCACCGGCUAACUCCGUGCCAGCAGCCGCGGUAAUAC
Molecule: ribosomal RNA, 406 nt
Filed under: uncultured bacterium
Lineage: Bacteria
Description: partial 16S ribosomal RNA
Rfam family: Bacterial small subunit ribosomal RNA
Source: RNAcentral